Molecule: ribosomal RNA, 253 nt
Filed under: uncultured bacterium
Lineage: Bacteria
Description: partial 16S ribosomal RNA
Rfam family: Bacterial small subunit ribosomal RNA
Source: RNAcentral
UACAGAGGUCUCGAGCGUUAGGCGGAAUCACUGGGCUUAAAGCGUGUGUAGGUGGAUCGGUAAGUACCUUGUGAAAUCCCUCGGCUCAACCGAGGAACUGCACUCGAUACUGGUCGGCUAGAGUCCGGGAGGGGAUGGUGGAAUUCCCAGUGUAGCGGUGAAAUGCGUAGAUAUUGGGAAGAACACCGGUGGCGAAGGCGGCCAUCUGGACCGGAACUGACGCUGAGACGCGAAAGCGUGGGGAGCAAACAGG